Molecule: ribosomal RNA, 499 nt
Filed under: uncultured bacterium
Lineage: Bacteria
Description: partial 16S ribosomal RNA
Rfam family: Bacterial small subunit ribosomal RNA
Source: RNAcentral
GACGAACGCUGGCGGCGUGCCUAAUACAUGCAAGUCGAGCGAAGUUUUUCUGGUGCUUGCCCCGGAAAUACUUAGCGGCGGACGGGGGAGUCACACGUAAAGAACCUCCCUCAUAGACUGGGACAAAUAUCGGAAACGAUAGCUAAUACCGGAUAACAGCCUUAACGGCAUGGCUGAUGUUGAAAAGUUUGUUUUGCUAACACUAUGAGAUGGCUUUGCGGUGUAUUAGCUAGUUGGUGGGGUAAUGGCCUACCAAGGCGGCGAUGCAUAGCCGACCUGAGAGGGUGAUCGCCCACCCUGGGACUGAGACACGGCCCAGACUCCUGCGGGAGGCAGCAGCAGGGAAUCUUCCGCAAUGGGCGAAAGCCUGACGGUGCAACGCCGCGUGAGUGAUGAAGGAGUUCUGUUCGUAGAGCUCUGUUGUGAGGGAAGAAGGAAUGUGUAGUAACUAGGCACGGUAGUGACGGUACCUGCCCAGAAAGCCCCGGCUAACUACGUG